This 965-nucleotide long non-coding RNA is filed under the name Pan troglodytes (chimpanzee). RNAcentral describes it as "lincRNA". The record is from RNAcentral. Lineage: Eukaryota; Metazoa; Chordata; Mammalia; Primates; Hominidae.
CUCUGUGGGAGAAUCUGUUUCCUGGCCGUGGAGGUGGCCUGCACUCCUCAGCUUGUGCUGCCCGUCUCGAAUGACUGGAGUUUCCUGCUUCUGUCACUACACCUCCCACCCUCUCCAUCACCUGCUCUGCUCUUAUAAGGAUCUGGAGAAAUGGAAUAAUGGUAUCGCUGAUCUACGUAAACAAAUUGAAGAAUUGUCUGAAAGAAAGUAUGACAUGAACUUAUGAAUUCAACAGGUGAAGAUUUACAACUUGAUAAAUCAGCUUCGUGGGCUCGAGCUGUAAAAGCCAAAGGUCCGGUGAUGAUCCCAUACCCUUUUUUCCAGUCUCAUGUUGAAGAUUUUUAUGUAGAAGGCCUUCCCAAAGGAAUUUUUUUUUUUUUUUUUUUUUUUUUUUUUGAGAUGGAGUUUUCGCUCUUAUCGCCCAGGCUGGGGUGCAAUGGUGCAACCUUGCUGGUCACUGCAACCUCUGCCUCCUGGGUUCAGGAAAUUCUCCUGCCUUAGCCUCCCAAGUCGCUGGGAUUACAGGUGCCCACCGCCACACCAGGCUAAUUUUUGUAUUUUUAGUGGAGAUGGGGUUUCACCAUGUUGGCCAGACCAGUCUUGAACUCCUGACGUCAAGUGAUCUUCCCGCCUCGGCCUCCCAGAGUGCUGAGAUUACAGACAUGAACCCAUGCCUGGCCAGGAAUUUUGUUUUUUAGGAAGGCUUUCUACUAAUGGAAUUCCUGGCCUUGAGAGGAUAUUACUUUCGAAGGAAAGGACUUUUUUGUUAUUAAAAGCUGGACCUACCAUGAAAGACUUCUGAAUCCAGGAAGAGAGACUGACUGGGCAACGUGUUAUUCAGAAACAGGACCUUGCCCUGUCAUUUAGGAUGGAGUUCAGUGGUCCAAUCAUGGCUCAUUGUAGCCUCAAACUCCCAGGCUCAAGCAAUCCUACCAUGUCAGCCUUCCCAGUAGCUGGGACUACAG